UACGGGGGGGGCAAGCGUUGUUCGGAAUUACUGGGCGUAAAGGGCGCGUAGGCGGCCUGUUAAGUCGAACGUGAAAUCCCCGGGCUCAACCCGGGAACUGCGUCCGAUACUGGCAGGCUUGAAUCCGGGAGAGGGAUGUGGAAUUCCAGGUGUAGCGGUGAAAUGCGUAGAUAUCUGGAGGAACACCGGUGGCGAAGGCGGCAUCCUGGACCGGUAUUGACGCUGAGGCGCGAAAGCCAGGGGAGCAAACAGG
RNAcentral lists this ribosomal RNA (253 nucleotides) under uncultured bacterium. Its description in RNAcentral is "partial 16S ribosomal RNA". It matches the Rfam family "Bacterial small subunit ribosomal RNA", at positions 524 to 776 of the family's 1533-position model. The record is from RNAcentral.